This 252-nucleotide ribosomal RNA is filed under the name uncultured bacterium. Its description in RNAcentral is "partial 16S ribosomal RNA". It matches the Rfam family "Bacterial small subunit ribosomal RNA", at positions 524 to 776 of the family's 1533-position model. The record is from RNAcentral.
UACGUAGGUCCCGAGCGUUGUCCGGAUUUAUUGGGCGUAAAGCGAGCGCAGGUGGUUUAUUAAGUCUGGUGUAAAAGGCAGUGGCUCAACCAUUGUAUGCAUUGGAAACUGGUAGACAUGAGUGCAGGAGAGGAGAGUGGAAUUCCAUGUGUAGCGGUGAAAUGCGUAGAUAUAUGGAGGAACACCGGUGGCGAAAGCGGCUCUCUGGCCUGUAACUGACACUGAGGCUCGAAAGCGUGGGGAGCAAACAGG